RNAcentral lists this ribosomal RNA (268 nucleotides) under unidentified gamma proteobacterium groupD. RNAcentral's name for it is "partial 16S small subunit ribosomal RNA". It matches the Rfam family "Bacterial small subunit ribosomal RNA", at positions 1106 to 1373 of the family's 1533-position model. The record is from RNAcentral. Lineage: Bacteria; Pseudomonadati; Pseudomonadota; Gammaproteobacteria.
UAUCCUUAUUUGCCAGCGAGUUAUGUCGGGAACUCUAAGGAGACUGCCGGUGAUAAACCGGAGGAAGGUGGGGACGACGUCAAGUCAUCAUGGCCCUUACGGGAUGGGCUACACACGUGCUACAAUGGCAAGUACAGAGGGCUGCAAUACCGCGAGGUUGAGCGAAUCCCACAAAGCUUGUCGUAGUCCGGAUUGGAGUCUGCAACUCGACUCCAUGAAGUCGGAAUCGCCAGUAAUCGUAGAUCAGAAUGCUACGGUGAAUACGUUC